Molecule: ribosomal RNA, 274 nt
Filed under: uncultured bacterium
Lineage: Bacteria
Description: partial 16S ribosomal RNA
Rfam family: Bacterial small subunit ribosomal RNA
Source: RNAcentral
AUACGGAGGGUGCAAGCGUUGUCCGGAUUUAUUGGGUUUAAAGGGUGUGUAGGCGGUGUAUUAAGUCAGUGGUGAAAGCCUGCGGCUCAACCGUAGAACCGCCAUUGAUACUGACACACUUGAGUAUGGACGAGGUAGGCGGAAUUUAUGGUGUAGCGGUGAAAUGCAUAGAUACCAUAAAGAACACCGAUAGCGAAGGCAGCUUACUAGGCCAUAACUGACGCUGAGGCACGAAAGCGUGGGGAGCGAACAGGAUUAGAAACCCCAGUAGUCC